CAGACGAUGCGUCAUGCAUAUCAAUAAGCGGAGGAAAAGAAACUAACAAGGAUUCCCCUAGUAACGGCGAGUGAAGCGGGAAGAGCUCAAAUUUGAAAUCUUAAAGGGUUUCCCUUUACGAAUUGUAGUUUAAAGAAGUGUUUUCUGUUGAGGUUUUGGUAAAAGUUCUUUGGAAUAGGACAUCAUAGAGGGUGAGAAUCCCGUAUUUGACCUUUACUUUCAACUUUGUGAUACACUUUCAAAGAGUCGGAUUGUUUGGGAAUGCAGUCCAAAAUGGGUGGUAAAUUUCAGUCUAAAGCUAAAUAUUGGCGAGAGACCGAUAGCGAACAAGUACCGUGAGGGAAAGAUGAAAAGAACUUUGAAAAGAGAGUUAAACAGUACGUGAAAUUGUCAAAAGGGAAGCGUUUGACACCAGUGUUGUUUUUCUGAAAAUCAAUUAAAGAACUGUUUAUGCUAAGUUGUUUAGACUUUAUCAGCUAUCUGUUUAGUUUUGAGCUUUUCUUUAAUGCACUUUUCAGUUAACAAGUCAACAUCAAUUUCUUUUGCUGUAAAAAAGCUUGAGGAAGGUGGCUUGAGAUUCGUCUUAAGUGUUUAUAGCCUCUUGCCUAUGCAGUCGGAGAGAUUGAGGUCUGCAGCGUAGAUCCUUCGGGGCUGAAUGCAUUUGUGCUAAGUUAUAGCAUUUUAUAGACAACUUGUUGACUAUGAUUUGUCUUGUAGCUUACUCGCUUAUGUUAUUUUACCUACGCUUAGGAUGUUGAAUCUGUGCGAGACUAC
RNAcentral lists this ribosomal RNA (774 nucleotides) under uncultured Neocallimastigales. RNAcentral describes it as "partial large subunit ribosomal RNA". It matches the Rfam family "Eukaryotic large subunit ribosomal RNA", at positions 18 to 644 of the family's 3401-position model. Lineage: Eukaryota; Fungi; Neocallimastigomycota; Neocallimastigomycetes; Neocallimastigales. The record is from RNAcentral.